GCCAAAGAUCUAGCCCCUCCCCUCUCCCUUCCAUCAAGCACAAAUUAAAAUAUUCUCACGCCUGAGUAAAGACGAUUGAAAACUCAAUAGGAGCUAUGCCCGUACCGCAAGGGAAAAAUGAAAUAAAAUGAAACAUUUAAAGCCCCAAAAAGUAGAGAUCAAACCUUGUACCUUUCGCAUCAUGGUUUAACUAGUCCCCCCGAGCAAAAAGAAUUUUAGUUUGAACCCCCGAAACUGAAUGAGCUACCCUAAGGCAGCUAAACGAGCACACUCGUCCCUGUGGCAAAAGGGUGAGAAGACCUUAUAGUAGCGGUGACAAACCUAACGAAUUCAGUAAUAGCUGGUUACUUGAGAAAAGAAUUUUAGUCCGACCUAAAGCACCCACUAACCCUAAUUAACGCUUUAGAGCAAUUCGAAUAAGGUACAGCUUAUUUGAAACAGGACACAACCUCCGGCAACGGGUAAUUCUAACUGCAUCCUGAACUAAGUGGGCCUAARAGCAGCCACCUUAAAAGAACGUCAAAGCCUAAUUCACUCCGCACCCAAUACCUCAACUCUUAGAGAACCCCUCAACACUAUCAAGUACUUCUAUGCUCCCCAUAGAAAUUUUUAUGUUAAAACUAGUAAUAAGAAGCCAAUUCUCUUAAUGUAAGUGUAAAUCAGAACGGACCCCCCACUGAUACUUAUCAACAACUAACAGCACCCGCCCAGAAAACCCUGUUCCCCCCCCCUGUUAACCUAACACAAGAACAUUUCAAGAAAGAUUGUAAGAAAAAGAAGGAACUCGGCAAAUACCCAUCCCGCCUGUUUACCAAAAACAUCGCCUCUUGAGCAAAAUAAGAGGUCUAGCCUGCCCAGUGACACUAGUUCAACGGCCGCGGUAUCCUGACCGUGCGAAGGUAGCGUAAUCACUUGUUUUUUAAAUAAAGACUAGUAUGAAAGGCAUCACGAGGAUUGACCUGUCUCCUUUUUCCAAUCUAUGAAACUAAUCUUCCCGUGAAGAAGCGGGAAUUCCCUAAUAAGACGAGAAGACCCUAUGGAGCUUUAGACGUGCCACACUGCUGUCAGUUCCUAUCCCACCUUAGGAAACCUCCGCAGCAUCUUACCGCACAGUCUUAGGUUGGGGUGACCGCGGAGUAAAACUUACCCUCCACGCUGAAUGGAAGCUUCCCCUAAGCAAAGAGCCACAACUCUAUGCAUCAGCAAACUGACAGCAAUUGACCCAAUUACUUGAUCAACGGAACAAGUUACCCUAGGGAUAACAGCGCAAUCCCCCUUAAAAGCCCCUAUCGACAGGGGGGUUUACGACCUCGAUGUUGGAUCAGGGUAUCCCAGUGGUGCAGCCGCUACUAAAGGCUCGUUUGUUCAACGAUUAAAACCCUACGUGAUCUGAGU
This 1395-nucleotide ribosomal RNA is filed under the name Ischnocnema verrucosa. Its description in RNAcentral is "partial 16S ribosomal RNA". It matches the Rfam family "Bacterial large subunit ribosomal RNA", at positions 581 to 2610 of the family's 2925-position model. The record is from RNAcentral. Lineage: Eukaryota; Metazoa; Chordata; Amphibia; Anura; Brachycephalidae.